RNAcentral lists this ribosomal RNA (609 nucleotides) under uncultured organism. RNAcentral describes it as "bacterial SSU rRNA". It matches the Rfam family "Bacterial small subunit ribosomal RNA", at positions 803 to 1404 of the family's 1533-position model. The record is from RNAcentral.
UAAACGAUGAGCACUAGGUAUUGGAAGCCCUGCGUUUUCACUGCUGUAGCGAAAGCGUUAAGUGCUCCGCCUGGGGAGUACGUUCGCAAGGCUGAAACUCAAAGGAAUUGACGGGGGCUCACACAAGCGGUGGAGCAUGUGGUUUAAUUCGAGGCAACGCGAAGAACCUUACCCGGGUUUGACAUGCAAGGAUUAGCUUCCUGAAAGGGAAGUGACGCCUUUCGGGGUGGAACUUGCACAGGUGCUGCACGGCUGUCGUCAGCUCGUGCCGUGAGGUGUUGGGUUAAGUCCCGUAACGAGCGAAACCCUUGUCGUUAGUUGCCAGCGGGUAAAGCCGGGGACUCUAACGAGACUGCCGUUGUUAGGACGCAGGAAGGUGGGGACGACGUCAAGUCAUCAUGGCCCUUAUGUCCGGGGCUACACACGUGCUACAAUGGCCGGUACAGAGGGUAGCGAAGUCGAGAGGCGGAGCUAAUCUCAGAAAGCCGGUCCCAGUUCGGAUUGAAGGCUGCAAUUCGCCUUCAUGAAGGCGGAAUCGCUAGUAAUCGCGGAUCAGCACUGCCGCGGUGAAUAUGUUCCUGAGCAUUGUACACACCGCCCGUCAAGCCA